RNAcentral lists this ribosomal RNA (253 nucleotides) under uncultured bacterium. RNAcentral describes it as "partial 16S ribosomal RNA". It matches the Rfam family "Bacterial small subunit ribosomal RNA", at positions 524 to 776 of the family's 1533-position model. The record is from RNAcentral.
UACGUAGGGCGCGAGCGUUGUCCGGAAUUAUUGGGCGUAAAGAGCUCGUAGGCGGUUUGUCGCGUCUGCCGUGAAAGUCCGGGGCUCAACUCCGGAUCUGCGGUGGGUACGGGCAGACUAGAGUGAUGUAGGGGAGACUGGAAUUCCUGGUGUAGCGGUGAAAUGCGCAGAUAUCAGGAGGAACACCGAUGGCGAAGGCAGGUCUCUGGGCAUUAACUGACGCUGAGGAGCGAAAGCAUGGGGAGCGAACAGG